RNAcentral lists this ribosomal RNA (447 nucleotides) under uncultured bacterium. Its description in RNAcentral is "bacterial SSU rRNA". It matches the Rfam family "Bacterial small subunit ribosomal RNA", at positions 355 to 825 of the family's 1533-position model. The record is from RNAcentral.
UGGGGAAUAUUGGACAAUGGGCGCAAGCCUGAUCCAGCCAUGCCGCGUGAGUGACGAAGGCCUUAGGGUUGUAAAGCUCUUUUGGCGGGGAAGAUAAUGACGGUACCCGCAGAAUAAGCUCCGGCUAACUUCGUGCCAGCAGCCGCGGUAAUACGAAGGGAGCUAGCGUUGUUCGGAAUCACUGGGCGUAAAGCGCACGUAGGUGGGCAGUUAAGUCAGGGGUGAAAGCCCGAGGCUCAACCUCGGAAUUGCCUCUGAUACUGGCUGUCUAGAGUUCGAGAGAGGUGAGUGGAAUUCCUAGUGUAGAGGUGAAAUUCGUAGAUAUUAGGAAGAACACCGGUGGCGAAGGCGGCUCACUGGCUCGAUACUGACACUGAGGUGUGAAAGCGUGGGGAGCAAACAGGAUUAGAUACCCCUGUAGUCCCUGAGCGGGCUGGCAAGGCGCAU